Molecule: ribosomal RNA, 386 nt
Filed under: Clostridioides difficile
Lineage: Bacteria; Bacillati; Bacillota; Clostridia; Peptostreptococcales; Peptostreptococcaceae
Description: bacterial SSU rRNA
Rfam family: Bacterial small subunit ribosomal RNA
Source: RNAcentral
GCGUCUGAUUAGCUAGUUGGUAAGGUAACGGCUUACCAAGGCGACGAUCAGUAGCCGACCUGAGAGGGUGAUCGGCCACAUUGGAACUGAGACACGGUCCAAACCCCUACGGGAGGCAGCAGUGGGGCAUAUUGCACAAUGGGCGAAAGCCUGAUGCAGCAACGCCGCGUGAGUGAUGAAGGCCUUCGGGUCGUAAAACUCUGUCCUCAAGGAAGAUAAACGGUACUUGAGGAGGAAGCCCCGGCUAACUACGUGCCAGCAGCCGCGGUAAUACGUAGGGGGCUAGCGUUAUCCGGAUUUACUGGGCGUAAAGGGUGCGUAGGCGGUCUUUCAAGUCAGGAGUGAAAGGCUACGGCUCAACCGUAGUAAGCUCUUGAAACUGGGAG